Molecule: ribosomal RNA, 1077 nt
Filed under: Weissella sp. LS20d
Lineage: Bacteria; Bacillati; Bacillota; Bacilli; Lactobacillales; Lactobacillaceae
Description: bacterial SSU rRNA
Rfam family: Bacterial small subunit ribosomal RNA
Source: RNAcentral
GCACUGUGGUUCACUGAUUUGAAGAGCUUGCUCUGAUAUGACGAUGAACAUUGCAGUGAGUGGCGAACGGGUGAGUAACACGUGGGAAACCUACCUCUUAGCGGGGGAUAACAUCUGGAAACAGAUGCUAAUACCGCAUAACACUAGCAACCGCAUGGUUGCUACUUGAAAGAUGGUUCUGCUAUCACUAAGAGAUGGUCCCGCGGCGCAUUAGUUAGUUGGUGAGGUAAUGGCUCACCAAGACGAUGAUGCGUAGCCGAGUUGAGAGACUGAUCGGCCACAAUGGGACUGAGACACGGCCCAUACUCCUACGGGAGGCAGCAGUAGGGAAUCUUCCACAAUGGACGAAAGUCUGAUGGAGCAACGCCGCGUGUGUGAUGAAGGGUUUCGGCUCGUAAAACACUGUUGUAAGAGAAGAAUAGCAUCAAGAGUAACUGCUUGGUGUGUGACGGUAUCUUACCAGAAAGGAACGGCUAAAUACGUGCCAGCAGCCGCGGUAAUACGUAUGUUCCAAGCGUUAUCCGGAUUUAUUGGGCGUAAAGCGAGCGCAGACGGUUUUUUAAGUCCGAAGUGAAAGCCCACAGCUUAACUGUGGAAGUGCUUUGGAAACUGGAUGACUUGAGUGCAGUAGAGGAGAGUGGAAUUCCAUGUGUAGCGGUGAAAUGCGUAGAUAUAUGGAGGAACACCAGUGGCGAAGGCGGCUCUCUGGACUGUAACUGACGUUGAGGCUCGAAAGUGUGGGUAGCAAACAGGAUUAGAUACCCUGGUAGUCCACACCGUAAACGAUGAGUGCUAGAUGUUUGGGGGUUUCCGCCCCUAAGUGUCGCAGCUAACGCAUUAAGCACUCCGCCUGGGGAGUACGACCGCAAGGUUGAAACUCAAAGGAAUUGACGGGGACCCGCACAAGCGGUGGAGCAUGUGGUUUAAUUCGAAGCAACGCGAAGAACCUUACCAGGUCUUGACAUCCUUUGACCACGCCAGAAAUGGCGCUUUCCCUUCGGGGACAAAGUGACAGGUGGUGCAUGGUUGUCGUCAGCUCGUGUCGUGAGAUGUUGGGUUAAGUCCCGCAACGAGCGC